Molecule: long non-coding RNA, 905 nt
Organism: Rhinolophus ferrumequinum (greater horseshoe bat)
Lineage: Eukaryota; Metazoa; Chordata; Mammalia; Chiroptera; Rhinolophidae
Exons: 3
Source: RefSeq, a predicted model, not a curated record
ACUUCCUUUUCAUAAAACUCUAUGGUUCUGACUUCCUGUCUUCCUGCCUUAAAUACCCUCCAUUUUACCGCCCAAGCUAGACUGCACGUGACUUGCCGGGUUUGUAUGUAUCGCGUUGCAUGUUUUUUUUUCUUUUUCCUUUUCCCGAAUAAAUCCUUUUUGGUGACGUACUACUUAGUUGAUAUUACUGUUCAGUCAGUAUUUUGGGGGUCUCGCCGAGAAUCCAGAGAAGAACAAACCCUAACGGCUUCAGAGCAGGUGAGCAGCCAACUCCUGGUGCCACACAAAAAGCCGUUUUCGCUCACUGCUUGCUCUCCGAUUCAGAAUCCUCGGGUUUCCUCACAGGAAGAUAGCGUCCAUCUGUUGGAACUUUUGGGCUUAAAGGGACAUAUGUGGUCUGACAAUUAAGUUGCGAACUUGCCACCGUGCCCUUGUAUUGGCAACACUGUACAAACAGCUUGCUCUGCACCUGUUGCCUGUUAACACUGGAUACAAGCUGUUCCCGUUCCGUGCACUUUCCCUCUUAUGUGAUAGAUGACACCCAGAAGAGGUUAUUCCUGACAUCAAGGGACAAAAAGCCUGAAGACAGAAGACCUGACUUGAUCAGCGAUGCUUUUGGAGAAAGACCUUGGUCAAAAGGGGGAAUGAUAAAGAUGAACUGGGACUUGAAAGAACCCAAUCAGGCUGGGAGGUCUGUGGGAGGGAGCUGGGCUCGUUGAACUCUGGUCCUACUGGUAACUUCCUUUUCAUAAAACUUUGGUUCUAACUUCCUGUCUCCCUGCCUUAAAUACCCUCCAUCUUAGCAGCACACAAGCCAGAAUGUGCAGGGGCGGGGGGUGGGGGAGGGUGCUGGGUCUGCACGUGCUGGGUUGCAGCCUUUUUUGUGAAUAAAUAUUUGGUGACAG